This 1974-nucleotide long non-coding RNA is filed under the name Spirodela polyrhiza (greater duckweed). Its description in RNAcentral is "long non-coding RNA (SPOL_LNC001665)". Lineage: Eukaryota; Viridiplantae; Streptophyta; Magnoliopsida; Alismatales; Araceae. The record is from RNAcentral.
UUCGGUCAUGAUUUUUCAUUGUGUAAAAAGUGAGGACUAUUGGAUCCAACGAUCCAAGAGUUAUACAAGAUUGAGAACCUCGAUGAAACAGAGAGCCGACAAAAUAUCUCUUCUCAUCGAUAGGGAUCUCCACCAUCAAAAGCUCUUCCACUAUCACGUGGAUCUCCGCCGCCGCCAUAGGCUCCUCCUCUGCCCCCCUAGGCUACUCCUCUGCCACCACAUACAAGCUCCUCCUCAAUCUCCAAAUAGGUCAUGUUUAGUCAAGAUUUUGAUACCCGAAUUUAAGGUCUAGGUCGAGAUUUCAGCCUAAAACUUGACCGUGACCGUUCAUCCAUAACGGUGCACUGGCGCGGCCCAAACGGUGUCUCGGGAGAGGGCUCACCGUCAUCGACACUGUCGAGACGGCGGCGCCCAGAUCAAGGUCCCUCUGCCGGCAACAUCUUUUCCGGUCGCGGCAGUCUACCCCUCACUACCAAUGUUGGCGGCGGUGGAAUGCGUCACCAGGUGACCUUGAUGCGCCGGACGCCGCACUGCUGCGGCUGCGGCCACUACCGCCCUCACGCGUCCCCACUCGGCCGCCAGCGUCGCUGUGGCUGGUGCGACAGCCUGUGCGUAUAUUAAGGACAGCCGCUCUGGCGGCCGAUGUCCGUCCGCGUCGACAUGCUACGGCUGCCACCCAGCCGUAGGACACCCGGCCGGCGUCUCCGGCGGCUAUCUGUGCGUGCGCCGCGCGGCCUCAAGCUGCUAUGCCGCGGCGGAUGUCUGCGCGGAAACGCCACGUGGAUGCUGCACGGCUGCCGAUGCGGCCGCUAGCGCCCUUGCACGUCCUGGCUGCCAAUGUGGCCAGCGGCUGCCCGUGUCGGUGCCCACAGCGCCGUAGGGACGCCGCUGCGGCCACCGUCUGCGCGGACGCCGCACGGCCGCGGCCGCGGCCGCUACCGCCGUUGCGCGUCCCGACCGCCAAUGCUGUCAGUGGAUGCGCGUGACGGUUCCCGCGUGCACCGCCUAUGCAAGCACUCGGUCUUGUAGUCCAGCCGCCCAUGCGUGUCGAAGAUGGCGGAAGUAUAGACCGGCGUCGCAAGACUGAGAAAUAAAAUCAGAAUAUAAGAACAGAGAUGACUAGCUCUGAUAACACUUUAUGAAAAUACUGACGUACUUCAAUUCACGACCAAUCAGGAAUAAUAACGUUAUUUGUAAAUCUUCUCCUAUAUUUUUUUGUUAUAUUUCCACAAUCAGAAUGAUGCAGCACACGUCAAGAGCCCAUCAACGAAGGAAAGUGAUUUCAAAGAAAUGACAUGCGAGAAUAACACCCUCAACGAAUCAUAUCUUAAUAGCCCUUCAAAUAAAGAAGAUCUAAUCAAGUUGAAGGAGGGAAUAUUGAGAAAGGUACGGACAUUACCCGUGAUCCAGCUGCCGUUCGCCCAUACCGUCAGAAGAAACGCCCCACAAUAGAAGGUUUCCUUUACUAUUAACUUUCUAUUAUUUCGUGUAGAGAGGCUUAUAAAUCGUCCCUCAAACUUCUAGUUUGACAGUGAAUUAGAUGGAGAGUUUCUUCCUUACCUGAUCGUGAGAUCCCGUCACCCCGACUUGGGUUGGUUAGAGGACCUCGCCGCUCCCGGUCUGGAGUACCCUUCUCCCUCCCUUCUUUCUUCUAUUGCCACCAAUUUUUAUUCUUGGCGCCGCUGAUACCACAUCACUUGCCUUUGUCACCGUCAUCACCUCCCUUUCACCGCUGCUGCCUACCCCUUGUCUUCCCCACCAUCGGUUGCCCUACAGCAAUCGUCAUUGCCUGCUUCCACCUCCUCUUCGUGGCCUUUCAUCGCCGACCUCUGCCGACCACCGCCGACCUCUGCCGUUCGCCACCAACUCCCGUCCCCGCCUUCCGCCGUCGCUGCCUACCUCUGCCGACCACUGCCACCCUCUACCGUUCGCCAUCGGCCUUCUGUCCUCCGCCAUCGCCGCCUUCCCCCCCCC